UACGUAGGGACCGAGCGUUGUCCGGAAUCAUUGGGCGUAAAGCGCGUGUAGGCGGUCCGGUAAGUCCGCUGUGAAAGUCGGGGGCUCAACCCUCGAAUGCCGGUGGAUACUGUCGGGCUAGAGUGCGGAAGAGGCGAGUGGAAUUCCUGGUGUAGCGGUGAAAUGCGCAGAUAUCAGGAGGAACACCAAUUGCGAAGGCAGCUCGCUGGGACGUUACUGACGCUGAGACGCGAAAGCGUGGGGAGCAAACAGG
Molecule: ribosomal RNA, 253 nt
Filed under: uncultured bacterium
Lineage: Bacteria
Description: partial 16S ribosomal RNA
Rfam family: Bacterial small subunit ribosomal RNA
Source: RNAcentral